This 311-nucleotide long non-coding RNA is filed under the name Anser brachyrhynchus (Pink-footed goose). RNAcentral's name for it is "lncRNA (ENSABRG00000000700.1)". Lineage: Eukaryota; Metazoa; Chordata; Aves; Anseriformes; Anatidae. The record is from RNAcentral.
AUUUUUGGGUUGUCUCAAUAUGCAUCUUUCAGCAAAUAUACCUAUUUCUUGAAGAAAAAAGAAAAAAGAGAAGGUGAUCAGUGCACGAGUGAAGAGUUUCAUAGGAGCCAGAAGGCAAACACAGGAAAGUAAAUCCAGCCUACUGGAUUACAACAGAGUGUGUUUACAGACAUCUGAAGAAGUGGUUGCUUCGGUGCAAUUUCUCCCAGUGUCAUGAGAAUAGCAGCAACGUGUGCAAAGUAAGAAGACUUCCUGCGGCCUAAUAUUGCAGAUAGUGGAAACAAAUCCUAUUUUGCAAAAUGUGAGAGAGC